UCNCCAGGGUACAACUUAGCAGUUGG
Molecule: non-coding RNA, 26 nt
Filed under: Mus musculus (house mouse)
Lineage: Eukaryota; Metazoa; Chordata; Mammalia; Rodentia; Muridae
Source: RNAcentral